CAGCUAGUUGGUGAGGUAACGGCCCACCAAGGCGACGACGGGUAGCCGGCCUGAGAGGGUGACCGGCCACACUGGGACUGAGACACGGCCCAGACUCCUACGGGAGGCAGCAGUGGGGAAUAUUGCACAAUGGGCGCAAGCCUGAUGCAGCAACGCCGCGUGAGGGACGACGGCCUUCGGGUUGUAAACCUCUUUUAGUAGGGAAGAAGCGAAAGUGACGGUACCUGCAGAAAAAGCACCGGCUAACUACGUGCCAGCAGCCGCGGUAAUACGUAGGGUGCAAGCGUUAUCCGGAAUUAUUGGGCGUAAAGAGCUCGUAGGCGGUUUGUCGCGUCUGCUGUGAAACCCGGAGGCUCAACCUCCGGCCUGCAGUGGGUACGGGCAAACUAGAGUGCGGUAGGGGAGAUUGGAAUUCCUGGUGUAGCGGUGGAAUGCGCAGAUAUCAGGAGGAACACCGAUGGCGAAGGCAGAUCUCUGGGCCGUAACUGACGCUGAGGAGCGAAAGCGUGGGGAGCGAACAGGAUUAGAUACCCUGGUAGUCCACGCCGUAAACGUUGGGAACUAGAUGUGGG
Molecule: ribosomal RNA, 572 nt
Filed under: Leifsonia sp. A5AGK
Lineage: Bacteria; Bacillati; Actinomycetota; Actinomycetes; Micrococcales; Microbacteriaceae
Description: bacterial SSU rRNA
Rfam family: Bacterial small subunit ribosomal RNA
Source: RNAcentral